This 262-nucleotide ribosomal RNA is filed under the name Bradypodion occidentale. RNAcentral describes it as "partial 16S ribosomal RNA". It matches the Rfam family "Bacterial large subunit ribosomal RNA", at positions 1915 to 2313 of the family's 2925-position model. Lineage: Eukaryota; Metazoa; Chordata; Lepidosauria; Squamata; Chamaeleonidae. The record is from RNAcentral.
AAACUCCUCUUAACGGCCGCGGCACUAAAACCGUGCAAAGGUAGCACAAUCACUUGUCCCUUAAAUGAGGACCCGUAUGAAAGGCAACAUGAGAGAAGACCUGUCUCCUGAGGCCAGCCAAUGAAAUUGAACUACCAGUACAAAAGCUGGUAUUUACAAGCAAGACAAAAAGACCCUAUGGAACUUUAACAAAUUAUUUAUAUGACAUUAAAUGAUAGUUUCAGUUGGGACAACCUUAGAGAAAAUUAACCUCUUAAUAACA